CCAGGAAAAAGGCCUGGGCUGCGGCCACAGUGGGCGGGGCCCCCAGGCCGGGCCGCCUCUCCAGGACCCCCGGAAGGGGGCUCCUGGAGGCUCCAGGCGGCUCCUCCCCCGGCGCCGCCUUCCCUCCCGGAAGGCCUCGGGGCAGAGCGGUCCCACCUCCUCGCCCAGAACGGAGCCCGCGUUUCCGCAGAGCUGGAACUCCCGGCUCGGGGUCUCUUCCCUCCGCCGUCACUGAAGUGCCCCGGAGCCCGAGGGGAGGGCGGCCUCACUGAGGCUGCCGGCUCUGGAGGGGCCCCGGCGGCCGAAGCCGCGACAGUCCUGGGGACCGCGGGCCGGUUGUUUCAGCAAGUAACUUAAAGACAAAAUGGAAAAACAAGGAGGUUUGUGCCUGAGAUCAUGUUGAGGUGAAACCAGGGAUGGCCACCUUGUGCCAGAAACAGGAAAACAAAUGCUUCUUAUGGAAUCAGAGAAUGUGAGGGCUGGACAAUCCCAGAAAAUGAGAAACACCCAUCCCAUUUUCCAGAUGAGAAAACAGAGGCCCAGCAAGGUGAAAUCCCUCACCCAAGUUGCACCUGUCUCUCCUCCCCACUACAUGGUUCAUGAAAGCAGGACUCUUUCUGUCUUGAUCACUGCUGAACUCCAAACAGGGCCAGGCAUCUAGCAGCUGCUUCAAAGAUUUUGGUUGGGCUUCCCUGGUGGCGCAGUGGUUGAGAAUCUGCCUGCCAAUGCAGGGGACGCGGGUUCGAGCCCUGGUCUGGGAAGAUCCCACAUGCC
Molecule: long non-coding RNA, 774 nt
Organism: Eubalaena glacialis (North Atlantic right whale)
Lineage: Eukaryota; Metazoa; Chordata; Mammalia; Artiodactyla; Balaenidae
Exons: 3
Source: RefSeq, a predicted model, not a curated record